Molecule: microRNA precursor, 61 nt
Organism: Colobus angolensis palliatus
Lineage: Eukaryota; Metazoa; Chordata; Mammalia; Primates; Cercopithecidae
Source: Ensembl
UGGGCUAAGGGAGAUGAUUGGGUAGGAAGUAUUAUUCUAUUCAUUUGCCUCCCAGCCUACA